GACGAACGCUGGCGGCGUGCCUAAUACAUGCAAGUAGAACGCUGAAGAGAGGAGCUUGCUCUUCUUGGAUGAGUUGCGAACGGGUGAGUAACGCGUAGGUAACCUGCCUUGUAGCGGGGGAUAACUAUUGGAAACGAUAGCUAAUACCGCAUAACAAUGGAUGACACAUGUCAUUUAUUUGAAAGGGGCAAUUGCUCCACUACAAGAUGGACCUGCGUUGUAUUAGCUAGUAGGUGAGGUAACGGCUCACCUAGGCGACGAUACAUAGCCGACCUGAGAGGGUGAUCGGCCACACUGGGACUGAGACACGGCCCAGACUCCUACGGGAGGCAGCAGUAGGGAAUCUUCGGCAAUGGGGGCAACCCUGACCGAGCAACGCCGCGUGAGUGAAGAAGGUUUUCGGAUCGUAAAGCUCUGUUGUAAGUCAAGAACGAGUGUGAGAGUGGAAAGUUCACACUGUGACGGUAGCUUACCAGAAAGGGCCGGCUAACUACGUGCCAGCAGCCGCGGUAAUACGUAGGUCCCGAGCGUUGUCCGGAUUUAUUGGGCGUAAAGCGAGCGCAGGCGGUUUGAUAAGUCUGAAGUUAAAGGCUGUGGCUCAACCAUAGUUCGCUUUGGAAACUGUCAAACUUGAGUGCAGAAGGGGAGAGUGGAAUUCCAUGUGUAGCGGUGAAAUGCGUAGAUAUAUGGAGGAACACCGGUGGCGAAAGCGGCUCUCUGGUCUGUAACUGACGCUGAGGCUCGAAAGCGUGGGGAGCGAACAGGAUUAGAUACCCUGGUAGUCCACGCCGUAAACGAUGAGUGCUAGGUGUUGGAUCCUUUCCGGGAUUCAGUGCCGCAGCUAACGCAUUAAGCACUCCGCCUGGGGAGUACGACCGCAAGGUUGAAACUCAAAGGAAUUGACGGGGGCCCGCACAAGCGGUGGAGCAUGUGGUUUAAUUCGAAGCAACGCGAAGAACCUUACCAGGUCUUGACAUCCCGAUGCUAUUUCUAGAGAUAGAAAGUUACUUCGGUACAUCGGUGACAGGUGGUGCAUGGUUGUCGUCAGCUCGUGUCGUGAGAUGUUGGGUUAAGUCCCGCAACGAGCGCAACCCCUAUUGUUAGUUGCCAUCAUUCAGUUGGGCACUCUAGCGAGACUGCCGGUAAUAAACCGGAGGAAGGUGGGGAUGACGUCAAAUCAUCAUGCCCCUUAUGACCUGGGCUACACACGUGCUACAAUGGUUGGUACAACGAGUUGCGAGUCGGUGACGGCAAGCUAAUCUCUUAAAGCCAAUCUCAGUUCGGAUUGUAGGCUGCAACUCGCCUACAUGAAGUCGGAAUCGCUAGUAAUCGCGGAUCAGCACGCCGCGGUGAAUACGUUCCCGGGCCU
RNAcentral lists this ribosomal RNA (1369 nucleotides) under uncultured bacterium. RNAcentral describes it as "bacterial SSU rRNA". It matches the Rfam family "Bacterial small subunit ribosomal RNA", at positions 28 to 1381 of the family's 1533-position model. The record is from RNAcentral.